GAGAAAGUUGUGAAGUAGUUUUGUUGUUGCGCAACCCCCCCCCCCCCACUUUGCAAAAAAACCAAAAAGGUAUAAAAAAUUAUCAUAUAAUGGCAAUCUAUCCUAUUAAUGAUUUCUGCAAAAUUCAGUUGAUUGUGCAAGGGUUGUAUAGCCAGCUGAGGUCGUUAAAAACUCUCUUACUUUUGUUGUUGCAGAUAGAUCUUGACCUGAUAAGCAAUUUUACCACAUGUCAGAUUUGCUCUAAAUGUUUUAGUUUUUGAGUGAUAAGCCAAAAACUGCAUUUUACCCCUAUGUUCUAUUUUUAGCCAUGGCAGCCAUCUUGAUUGGUUGGCCGGGUCACCAGACACAAUUUUUAAACUAGAUACCCCAAUGAUGAUUGUGGCCAAGUUUGGUUUAAUUUGGUCCAGUAGUUUCAGAGGAGAAGAUUUUUGUAAAAGAUAACUAAGAUUUACGAAAAAUGGUUAAAAAUUGACUAUAAAGGGCAAUAACUCCUAAAGGGGUCAACAGACCAUUUUGGUCAUGUUGACUUAUUUGUAGAUCUUACUUUGCUGAACAUUUUUGCUGUUUACAGUUUAUCUCUAUCUAUAAUAAUAUUCAAGAUAAUAACCAAAAACAGCAAAAUUUCCUUAAAAUUACCAAUCAGGGGCAGCAACCUAUCAACGAGUUGUCCAAUUCAUCUCAAAAUUUCAGGGCAGAUAGAUCUUGACCUGAUAAACAAUUUUACUACAUGUCAGAUUUGCUCUAAAUGCUUCGAUUUUUGAGUGAUAAGCCAAAAACUGCGUUUUACCCCUAUGUUCUAUUUUCAGCCAUGGCGGCCAUCUUGGUUGGUUGGCCGGAUCACCAAACACAAUUUUUAAACUAGAUACCCCAAUGAUGAUUGUGGCCAAGUUUGGUUUAAUUUGGUCCAGUAGUUUCAGAGGAGAAGAUUUUUGUAAAAGAUAAUUAAGAUUUACGAAAAAUGGUUAAAAAUUGACUAUAAAGGGCAAUAACUUCUAAAGGGGUCAACAGACCAUUUUGGUCAUGUUGACUUAUUUGUAGAUCUUACUUUGUUGAACAUUUUUGCUGUUCACAGUUUAUCUCUAUCUAUAAUAAUAUUCAAGAUAAUAACC
This 1109-nucleotide long non-coding RNA is filed under the name Mytilus galloprovincialis (Mediterranean mussel). The record is from RNAcentral. Lineage: Eukaryota; Metazoa; Mollusca; Bivalvia; Mytilida; Mytilidae.